GAUGAACGCUGGCGGCGUGCCUAAUACAUGCAAGUCGAGCGAACGGACGAGAAGCUUGCUUCUCUGAUGUUAGCGGCGGACGGGUGAGUAACACGUGGAUAACCUACCUAUAAGACUGGGAUAACUUCGGGAAACCGGAGCUAAUACCGGAUAAUAUUUUGAACCGCAUGGUUCAAAAGUGAAAGACGGUCUUGCUGUCACUUAUAGAUGGAUCCGCGCUGCAUUAGCUAGUUGGUAAGGUAACGGCUUACCAAGGCAACGAUGCAUAGCCGACCUGAGAGGGUGAUCGGCCACACUGGAACUGAGACACGGUCCAGACUCCUACGGGAGGAAGCAGUAGGGAAUCUUACGCAAUGGGCGAAAGCCUGACGGAGCAACGCCGCGUGAGUGAUGAAGGUCUUCGGAUCGUAAAACUCUGUUAUUAGGGAAGAACAUAUGUGUAAGUAACUGUGCACAUCUUGACGGUACCUAAUCAGAAAGCCACGGCUAACUACGUG
RNAcentral lists this ribosomal RNA (497 nucleotides) under uncultured bacterium. RNAcentral describes it as "partial 16S ribosomal RNA". It matches the Rfam family "Bacterial small subunit ribosomal RNA", at positions 28 to 507 of the family's 1533-position model. The record is from RNAcentral.